UGCAAAAAUGUAGCAAGAAGAAGGGGGCAGGGGACUCCUCUGACACAUGUUAUGUUUUAGAGCAUUUUAUAUAUUCCGCUAUCUGUACUAUGUAAAAAAGGUUUCUCCAAGAAUGAAAAGAAUUCACAGACAAAACAAAAGGUCAUUUUGUCCUUCGCGCGCCACUGUGUGGAGAAUGCCACAUAAUGUGUUUUGUUCAGAAACCUAAAUAAUAUCAAACUGCCCACAGGAACCUGAUCUCGUUUAUAUCCAAGGGGCAACUUUACCUGAAUACAAUUCUUAUAGGCUGACAACAUUUUUGAGGAGACAUUUGGAUAGCAUCUACAAAAGGAUAGCAUGUUUUACAGUGUUAUCCACUAGCAAAGGAUUUAAGAUUAACAUUGGAUUUUGUAUGAUAUAUAUAUUUAUUUUUCACAUAUUUCUCUUUAUUGACAUUUUUUUUAACAAAUACAAUAAAAG
This is a non-coding RNA of Pelobates cultripes (western spadefoot toad), 459 nucleotides long. NCBI's taxonomy places the organism in Eukaryota, Metazoa, Chordata, Amphibia, Anura, Pelobatidae. The record is from the annotation of a GenBank genome assembly.